AAAGUACUCCCCAUUUUUCCCAGAAAGAAAUGUAAGUAGAAAUCGAUGAUCUAAGUGAGAACAUGAGCCUUUAUAAAGUCCCAGUGGGUGCAGUCAAAGCAGUCCCUCAGUCCCAGUAUAGAGUCUUUGGUCCAGACUGGAACAACUGUGUGCCCAGUUUGAGCUCUCUUCAGUGCUGUGACCUGACAGACCCAGAGGGGCCAUCACAUCACAUUUAGAAGCUCCCCUAAUGGAGCCACAACACAUGUCCAACACUUAGUCUGUCUUGUUGGACCAACUGGAAGAAAUGAUUCAAGGACUUAGUCACAGAACAGAGAUUCAAAUCUCCAAAAUCCAACUGGCUGCAUCAGGACAUAUAGUCUGAAACUCUGCACAGUUUCCUGUUUGAAGCUGCUUCCUGUUGGCUUCAGCUGUUUGGAGUUUCCAUUUUCUAAACUUCUACAUUCUGAACCUUCUUCAGCUCUGAACAGAUGAUGAAACACUGAAUGAUUUCAAGCUCACACUUUGUCUAAUAAACUUACAUCUUUCAUUCUUUAUACAGAUUUAGUCGCUGUGGUUUGUCAGAGAUCAGCUGUGAUUAUCUGGCAGCAGCACUGAAGUCCAACCCCUCCCAUCUGAGACAGCUGGACCUGUGGGACAACAACCUGAAGGAUCCAGAUGUGAAGCAGCUGUCUGAUCUUCAGAGUCCAGACUACAGACUGGAGACUCUGAGGUGGAGGAUAUGAUGGUAAACAGGACGGUGUGUGUGCUGAGAGAGGAGGAGCUGUGUCCUGAUGAUCCAGAGAGGUUGAAGCAGCAGCAGCUUGUGUGUAGAGACGCUCUGACUGGGCCAUGUUACUGGGAGGUGGAGAGGAGAGCUUCAUCCAGCAGUGACUGACAGAGGAAUGAGAAGAAGUGCAGAUGACUGUCAGUGCCGCAGAGUGAACUGCUCUGAGAACAGCUCCACUGUCAGACACAAUGUAGAGUCCAGCAUCAUCCCUGUGUGUCCCUCUGGAUCUGACAGAGGAUCAUCAGUGUAUCUGGACUGCUCUGCUGCUGCGCUGUCCUUCUACAGUCUCUGCACAGUCUCUGUCUGACUCUGGCUUCAGACCCUCCUGGAUCAAACUCACCUGGAAAGACUUUCAAACAUCACUCAAUAGAUUUGAAUACAGAAUAUAUUUGAUAUAUACUGUAGAUGUACUGUAGAGUUGCAGUUUGUCACUUGUAAAUACAGUCUGUGAGCAGCUAUGAGCUGAAAGAUCUUUCUAGAAACACGAAAUGUUUUCACUCUUCUGUUGCUUUUUCAGUUCAUUUUAUUAGAUAGUUAAGUUUGAAACAAUAAGUAGUUGAAAUAUUAAGAAAUAAUACAUAAGAAAUAAAUAGUAAUCCAUGUUUGUUGAUUAGAUUUAUAUGUUUAAAUGUGUUAUUUGUGCUAAUUGUGCAAUUAUAGAGGAACCUUUUCUAAAGUUGUGUUGUGGCUAAGAGGGCAUUUUUUGGCUGUCACACUCAGCAAGCUAAUUAAGAGACGAGCCACGAGGUUUGCACGUCUGCAGAAAGAUAAAUAAAGAGUGCCUUUUCUGGACAUCCCCACCGAGUAAAAAUGAAAGUUUAUUCCCUUUGAGUGAGGCCAAUGAGGUAAAUGUUUUGUUUAUUAUCGUUGUAUGUAAAUUCACGAGUUUUGCAUGGUAUUCAAGUGCAAUAGCCGCAGUGUGAAGUGUAAUGUGUACUUUAUUGAUCAUUUUGUUGGAAUGUUUCGUUGUAUAUAAUGCUUAAGGACUUUAGUAAGAAUAUUCAUUUAAGUUUGUAUUUCCUUUUAGUUCUGACGGCAUUGUAUCGGCUGUGGUUGAACAUCAUUACAUGUUAAGACAUGUGGAAGAAUCCUCCUGUCCGAAAUAAAUGUCAGUUUAAAC
This is a long non-coding RNA of Astatotilapia calliptera (eastern happy), 1889 nucleotides long. The record is from Ensembl. NCBI's taxonomy places the organism in Eukaryota, Metazoa, Chordata, Actinopteri, Cichliformes, Cichlidae.